GUAUUACUGACCGAAGGAGAGAAGAUGGUGCUUCAUUACCAUGGUGGAGGAAAACAAGGUUCUUGAGAAGCUGUUACACUCAUGCAUGGGGUAGGAAAGACUAUCUGACCCAAGCGGAGAGUGGGAUGGUGAUUGUCGCUGAAAUUUCAUCGAAGGAAAGACGUUGGAAGUAAGGGAUGAAAAAUGAACAAUUCUCAGAAUUGGGAAGGUUGCUAUCAAAAUCCAUUUCAAAUGAGAGAAGGGCAUUUCCAUCUUUUGUAACGACAAGCUAAUGAUGUCAGUACUUACUUGAACAUCGGGGCCA
RNAcentral lists this long non-coding RNA (304 nucleotides) under Elaeis guineensis (African oil palm). Its description in RNAcentral is "long non-coding RNA (EGUI_LNC017971)". The record is from RNAcentral. Lineage: Eukaryota; Viridiplantae; Streptophyta; Magnoliopsida; Arecales; Arecaceae.